CGUAAAGCUCUGUUGUUGGAGAAGAACGUGCGUGAGAGUAACUGUUCACGCAGUGACGGUAUCCAACCAGAAAGUCACGGCUAACUACGUGCCAGCAGCCGCGGUAAUACGUAGGUGGCAAGCGUUAUCCGGAUUUAUUGGGCGUAAAGCGAGCGCAGGCGGUUGCUUAGGUCUGAUGUGAAAGCCUUCGGCUUAACCGAAGAAGUGCAUCGGAAACCGGGCGACUUGAGUGCAGAAGAGGACAGUGGAACUCCAUGUGUAGCGGUGGAAUGCGUAGAUAUAUGGAAGAACACCAGUGGCGAAGGCGGCUGUCUGGUCUGCAACUGACGCUGAGGCUCGAAAGCAUGGGUAGCGAACAGGAUUAGAUACCCUGGUAGUCCAUGCC
Molecule: ribosomal RNA, 385 nt
Filed under: uncultured bacterium
Lineage: Bacteria
Description: bacterial SSU rRNA
Rfam family: Bacterial small subunit ribosomal RNA
Source: RNAcentral